RNAcentral lists this ribosomal RNA (465 nucleotides) under uncultured bacterium. RNAcentral describes it as "partial 16S ribosomal RNA". It matches the Rfam family "Bacterial small subunit ribosomal RNA", at positions 28 to 507 of the family's 1533-position model. The record is from RNAcentral.
GACGAACGCUGGCGGCGUGCUUAACACAUGCAAGUCGUACGGUAAGGCCCUUUCGGGGGUACACGAGUGGCGCACGGGUGAGUAACACGUGAGUAACCUGCCCACAACUUUGGGAUAACGCUAGGAAACUGGUGCUAAUACUGGAUAUGUGCUCCUGCUGCAUGGUGGGGGUUGGAAAGCUCCGGCGGUUGUGGAUGGACUCGCGGCCUAUCAGCUUGUUGGGGGGGUAGUGGCCUACCAAGGCGGCGACGGGUAGCCGGCCUGAGAGGGUGACCGGCCACAUUGGGACUGAGAUACGGCCCAGACUCCUACGGGAGGCAGCAGUGGGGAAUAUUGCACAAGGGGCGCAAGCCUGAUGCAGCAACGCCGCGUGCGGGAUGACGGCCUUCGGGUUGUAAACCGCUUUCAGCAGGGACGAAGCUUUUUGUGACGGUACCUGCAGAAGAAGCACCGGCUAACUACGUG